Beta vulgaris subsp. vulgaris (sugar beet) is the source of this 614-nucleotide long non-coding RNA. RefSeq lists it as uncharacterized. Lineage: Eukaryota; Viridiplantae; Streptophyta; Magnoliopsida; Caryophyllales; Amaranthaceae. The transcript has 2 exons. The record is from RefSeq and is a predicted model, not a curated record.
UGAUAGGACAAAAGGAGAGCUAUUGGGUAUCGUUUUGGUACCAAUAAUAAUAAUUCCUAAAAUUGGUAAAGAAAUAGAGAGAUGGGAAUAGGAAGCAAGGUGGGAGACUUGGUUUUCAAGGGUUUUACGGCGAGCUUGGGUUUGGCAACCAUCUAUCUCACUGCUACUUUCUCCGCUAGUGUCUAUCGAGGUCUUUCUUGGCACAACGCUCAAUCGAAAUUAAACCAGGAAGACCAGGACGAUCAGAAAAAUAUGGCCUGAAACAUUGUAAUCGCAUCACUUCUAAUGUCAACAAUGAUAUUUUGAAGUGAAUCUUCCAUAAAAGAAAGUUCAACAGUUGAAAAUUCAGUAGGAUGAAAUUCUGCUAGUCGUGUAACUUUGCUAUAUCAAAUGCGGAAAACUGGUUCGCGGGAUUGAAAGAAGACAUACAGAAAAGUAAUUCUUUGCUUACCUCAUUGAACCUAUUUUCAAGUUCUUUUAAUUGUAGAUCAAUGACACUUAAGAAAACUUCAAUUCGAAAAUGAUGAAGAUUUGUCACUUGUGGUCUAUUUCCACGAAACUUCCUUCUGCCAGGGAGAACAUACUUUUCCUCCAUAUCAGGAGUCUCAAUGCCA